CAGCAGCCGCGGUAAUACCGGCGGCCCGAGUGGCGGCCACUCUUAUUGGGCUUAAAGCGUCCGUAGCCGGGUUGGUUAGUCUCCCGGGAAAUCUGGCCGCUUAACGGUCAGAAUUCCGGGAGAUACUGCCAGCCUAGGGACCGGGAGAGGCCGAGGGUAUUCCCGGAGUAGGGGUGAAAUCCUAUAAUCCCGGGAGGACCACCUGUGGCGAAGGCGCUCGGCUGGAACGGGUCCGACGGUGAGGGACGAAGGCCAGGGGAGCAAACCGGAUUAGAUACCCGGGUAGUCCUGGCUGUAAACGAUGCGGACUUUGUGUCGGACAAGCUAUGAGCUUGUCUGGUGCCGGAGGGAAACCGUUAAGUCCGCCGCCUGGGGAGUACGGCCGCAAGGCUGAAACUUAAAGGAAUUGGCGGG
Molecule: ribosomal RNA, 414 nt
Filed under: uncultured microorganism
Description: bacterial SSU rRNA
Rfam family: Archaeal small subunit ribosomal RNA
Source: RNAcentral